This 2298-nucleotide ribosomal RNA is filed under the name human gut metagenome. Its description in RNAcentral is "bacterial LSU rRNA". The stretch from base 1 to 1914 matches the Rfam family "Bacterial large subunit ribosomal RNA", at positions 469 to 2925 of the family's 2925-position model. The record is from RNAcentral.
AAUACUCGUGAUCGACCGAUAGUGAACCAGUACCGUGAGGGAAAGGCGAAAAGAACCCCGGGAGGGGAGUGAAAUAGUACCUGAAACCUUGUGCUUACAAGCAGUCACAGCCCGUUAAAGGGUGGUGGCGUACUUUUUGUAGAACGGUCCGGCGAGUUAUAGUCACUAGCGAGCUUAAGACAUUCAGUGUUGGAGGCGUAGGGAAACCGAGUCUGAACAGGGCGAAUGAAGUUAGUGGCCAUAGACCCGAAACCAUGUGACCUAGCCAUGAGCAGGAUGAAGUGGAGGUAAAGCUCCAUGGAGGUCCGAACGCACGUUCGUUGCAAUGACCGGCGAUGACUUGUGGCUAGCGGUGAAAUUCCAAUCGAACUUGGAGAUAGCUGGUUCUCCCCGAAAUAGCUUUAGGGCUAGCGUUGGCAAUGAGUUUCCCGGAGGUAAAGCACUGAAUGAGCUAGGGGGCGCGAGCUUACUGAACUCUAUCAAACUAAGAAUGCCGCAUAAAUGCUUCCCAGCAGUCAGACUGCGAGUAAUAAAAUCCGUGGUCAAAAGGGUAACAGCCCAGACCCACAGCUAAGGUCCCCAAUACAUGCUAAGUGGAAAACGAUGUGAGAUCGCAUAAACAACCAGGAUGUUGGCUUAGAGGCAGCCACUCGUUCAAAGAGUGCGUAAUAGCUCACUGGUCGAGUGAUCUUGCGCGGAAAAUUUAACGGGGCUAAGCAUGUAACCGAAGCUUGGGAUUGCGCAAUGCGCAGUGGUAGGGGAGCGUCGUGUACGGGGUGAAGUACGAUCGAGAGGACGUGUGGACUGUACACGAGUGAGAAUGCCGGAAUGAGUAGCGAGAAUUAUGUGGGAAUCAUAAUGGCCGAAAAUCUAAGGUUUCUUGGGGAAGGUUCGUCCGCCCAAGGUAAGCCGGGAGCUAAGGCGAGGCCGAAAGGCGUAGUCGAUGCACAUACGGUUGAAAUUCCGUAGCCGCCGAAAUUGUUAAGCACAGGGACACAUAGAGAUAUCCGAACCCGGGCGUUGGUUGACCCGGGCGCAAGGGACCGAACAUCAGUAGGGAAGUCGGAGAUGCUCUGUGGCGAGAAAAGCUGUGUGUAUUGAUUAGGCGCCCGUACCGCAAACCGACACAGGUAGAUGAGGAGAGAAUCCUAAGGCCAACGGGAGAAGGGUUGUUAAGGAACUCGGCAAAUUGACCCCGUAACUUCGGAAGAAGGGGAGCCCCCUACGGGGGGUCGCAGAGAAAUGGCCCAAGCAACUGUUUACCAAAAACACAGGUCUAUGCUAAAUCGAAAGAUGACGUAUAUGGGCUGACGCCUGCCCGGUGCCGGAAGGUUAAGAGGAGAUGUCAGGCAACGAAGCAUUGAAUUUAAGCCCCGGUAAACGGCGGCCGUAACUAUAACGGUCCUAAGGUAGCGAAAUUCCUUGUCAGGUAAGUUCUGACCCGCACGAAUGGCGUAAUGAUUUGGGCACUGUCUCAACAGCCCGCCCGGCGAAAUUGUAGUACUGGUGAAGAUGCCAGUUACCCGCAACUAGACGGAAAGACCCCAUGGAGCUUUACUGCAGCUUAAUACUGGAAUUCGGUAAAUCAUGUACAGGAUAGGUGGGAGACUGGGAAGCAUUGGCGUCAGCCAGUGUGGAGUCGCUGGUGGGAUACCACUCUUGAUUUGCUGGGUUUCUAACUUCUGCAAGGGCUUGUUCAUAAUCACCUCGCUGGGCAUCUAAAAAUCGUUGUAAGUUAUAGUUGGUCAUAGAUACUUCUCGCAUUUUUUUAAGUUAUCGUACUUUCAGGAGAUAACAGAAUCAAAUAAGUGAUUUAUUUCGAAUCACAGCACUUUUUUCAAUUCUAUUAAAGCCGAGACUUCGUUUUCCUUAUUAAUGUACUUCUCUAUUUCAUAGGGUUUAUAUCCUAAUUUAGUAUAUAACAGAAGCCCACUCGUAUUAGCAUCAAAACAAGACAAAUGAAGCUCCGAUACAUUAUAUUUCUUUUUCCCAAUAUCUUCCAUAGCAUUUAUCAGAAAUGUGCCAACGCCACGAUUACGAAAACAAGGACUUACUAUUACAUUUCCAAUAGCACAAUAUUGAGAUUCUCUUACCUCAUAGAAAUUUGCAAACCCUACUACUUCAUUAUUAAAUAAAACAACAGUCGAAUCAAAUCUAUCUUUUAUUGUAUUCUUUAAUUGAUUGAUUGUUAAAGGAAAAUCAGCUUUAGGAAACAUAAAAAACAGUUCCUGCUUGUUUCGAGGUAAUUUACAAACAGUUUCUAAAUCGUCAAACGUAAAAUCUCUAUAAGUAAGUUUU